CCAUGAUCGAGUCCGACCGACCGGUCAUCGAAUCCAGACGUUAGAGCAUCUACAACCGGACCCCUCAAAUCUUCGUCAAACGUCAACCACUACAUAUGUCUUAUGCACGAACAAAUCAGGACUUGAAGUGGACACGGACAUAUAGCGGGUCAAAUUAGCCCACUCCAAUUGUAGAUACCUUUACAUACUAAGUUACCGACCGAAGCGAUUGGCUAUACAUGCACCAGCACACAUGAUCGACAUGGAGAAGUUCCCGAAAAGCCCACAGAUAUUUCAUGGGAGAUCUUCCCAGAUCUAGCUUUUGUGCUACUCAAAAUGCUCUCUCCGGCUCAAUAUCUGUGCCGCUCAACAUUGUCGAAUAGAUUGGUUCAUGGACCACCAUGAAAUUUCCGGCAGCCUAUAUAGCCAGCAAAAAAAAACUGAAAUAAAUAAAUUCGAGUGAUUAGUUCCACUACUGUGGACCAUUGGUUCUUUGGGCUACUUCCUACGUAGAUUACACAAGAUAAUCAUAUCGCAGGCAAACGCAAGUAUGGUUAAUCUCAGGAACAUAUGAACGUACUUGCAUUUCAUCAGGGGCUGCCUUGCGAGUUGUGACUCGUGAGACGCUUGUUGCAUGCAGCUAUGGAUAGAUAGCUCUCACCCGUUUGGAACAGAAUUCACGCAGCAACUGAGGCGAAUGGCAGGGCAAUUCUCCUUUGGCACGCACGGCUUGCUAGCAAGCUGCACCGCAUGCUCACCAGGCUACCACCAUCAUAUGUACAUGCAUGCCACCGUGCCAAGGGAGAAGCGCCCUGUGAUUCACACACGUCGGUCAAAUUUGCCAUGCCUUGCUAUAAGCCAAAGCUCUUUUGCCUCCUAUCAACUAUAUUUUUUGCUAAUGCUUGCUCUAUGUUUUGAAGUUCUU
RNAcentral lists this ribosomal RNA (904 nucleotides) under Triticum aestivum (bread wheat). RNAcentral's name for it is "partial small subunit ribosomal RNA". Lineage: Eukaryota; Viridiplantae; Streptophyta; Magnoliopsida; Poales; Poaceae. The record is from RNAcentral.